AAUUUGGACCUCUGACCGACGUGCAAACUGGUCGGAGGGCUGCAGCACCCGGGCUGCCCAAGUGGGCCGCAAUUUUACGGUCCUUUAUGGACUCCUGGCUUCCGCGCCUCCAUGCCUCUUACACCCUGCCAGCCACAAACUGCCCGGAUCGGCGUUUGAUCUUGCCCUCGCCUGGGGAAAGUGUCUUCCCCGAGCAAUUGAAGCAUUCCCCGAGCAGUUGAAACACUGGGUGCUUGGGGUGAGCUUCGAAUCCCCCAAGUCCAGGACUUGCAUCCGCCCCCUCAGCACCCCGCACUCAAGGCACUGCUGUCACCCUCAGUCCCGCCAAUGCCAGAACACAGUAGGAGACCCCCGCCAGAACGCAGAUAGCAGAGAGAGUUGCUCAGUACCGCUGGUGACGCCACUCGGCGAGCGCAAGUGGAUAAAUAGAAACGUCUGCCACAGCGAAGAUGAAAGGAAACCCGCAGCUAAUGGCUCGGCAGUGAUGCGCCAGAUGGCCUUAAGUUUUCCACAGCCUGGCUUCAUCUUGAGAUGGCUAUUCGUACAAGAAGUCG
Molecule: long non-coding RNA, 554 nt
Filed under: Homo sapiens (human)
Lineage: Eukaryota; Metazoa; Chordata; Mammalia; Primates; Hominidae
Description: EVX1 antisense RNA
Source: RNAcentral